This 559-nucleotide ribosomal RNA is filed under the name uncultured Clostridium sp. Its description in RNAcentral is "bacterial SSU rRNA". It matches the Rfam family "Bacterial small subunit ribosomal RNA", at positions 939 to 1504 of the family's 1533-position model. The record is from RNAcentral. Lineage: Bacteria; Bacillati; Bacillota; Clostridia; Eubacteriales; Clostridiaceae.
AUGUGGUUUAAUUCGAAGCAACGCGAAGAACCUUACUUGACAUCCCACUGACCUCUCCCUAAUCGGAGAUUUCCCUUCGGGGACAGUGGUGACAGGUGGUGCAUGGUUGUCGUCAGCUCGUGUCGUGAGAUGUUGGGUUAAGUCCCGCAACGAGCGCAACCCUUGCCUUUAGUUGCCAGCAUUAAGUUGGGCACUCUAGAGGGACUGCCGAGGAUAACUCGGAGGAAGGUGGGGAUGACGUCAAAUCAUCAUGCCCCUUAUGCUUAGGGCUACACACGUGCUACAAUGGGUGGUACAGAGGGUUGCCAAGCCGCGAGGUGGAGCUAAUCCCUUAAAGCCAUUCUCAGUUCGGAUUGUAGGCUGAAACUCGCCUACAUGAAGCUGGAGUUACUAGUAAUCGCAGAUCAGAAUGCUGCGGUGAAUGCGUUCCCGGGUCUUGUACACACCGCCCGUCACACCACGGGAGUUGGGGGCGCCCGAAGCCGGUUAGCUAACCUUUUAGGAAGCGGCCGUCGAAGGUGAAACCAAUAACUGGGGAAGUCGUAACAAGGUAGCCGUA